AGGUCCUGUAAAAGCAAUUUGACAGUUUAAUUACAUAAAUUGACAGAAGGGUUUAAUCUGAGUUAUCUUGGGCAAACAAUUUGACGAUUCAAGUAAACAAGCAACCGCCACGAGUUCAACUCUCAGAAGGAUCUCUGCACUUUCUAGCCAGUGCAGGUACAAGAGCAUGGUUUGAUUGUAAUGUUCAAGAACAGUGAACAAGUAAACCAACCUUGUGUAAAUCUCAGCUUUGGCAGCGAGUUUGGCUGCUCGUUUUUGCUUCACUUGUUCGUACAAAUCAUCUUCUGAGGAUUCAGCAUCUUCAUCCA
Molecule: long non-coding RNA, 308 nt
Organism: Populus trichocarpa (black cottonwood)
Lineage: Eukaryota; Viridiplantae; Streptophyta; Magnoliopsida; Malpighiales; Salicaceae
Exons: 2
Source: RefSeq, a predicted model, not a curated record